This is a long non-coding RNA of Agrilus planipennis (emerald ash borer), 422 nucleotides long. RefSeq lists it as uncharacterized. The record is from RefSeq and is a predicted model, not a curated record. NCBI's taxonomy places the organism in Eukaryota, Metazoa, Arthropoda, Insecta, Coleoptera, Buprestidae. The transcript has 3 exons.
UGGAACGGGUCGUUGUUUUUCUUCCGUUUUUAAUAAUGUAUUUUGUGUUUAGUGUCGUAUCCUUAAAUUUAACAUAACGUGUACGUAUCGUGGCGAGGUGUUUGCUUGAAUUAACGUAAAAUAUAUGUCAUAUUACAAAAAGGAACUGCUACUUAAUUAUACAUCUGCUGUUUUCUUCCUGAGCCGGCUCACUCUGAUGCUCUCUCAUGUUGCAUUCCAUUCAAGGCGAAUACAAGGAUUUUGUAACUGUAUGAAGAUAUUGCAGAGACACGCCAUUUGAAAUAUUACAUCCCAGAGAUGUUUCAGAUAAAAAUUCCUUGGGUGUACAUAAUUCAAGCGUUCGAUCGGUGACAGGCAAACAGCGGCAUACGUGUGUAAAAAGCCGGUGUAUUACUCAGCCUUGUCCAUAUAAGACACCUCAA